This 497-nucleotide ribosomal RNA is filed under the name uncultured bacterium. RNAcentral describes it as "partial 16S ribosomal RNA". It matches the Rfam family "Bacterial small subunit ribosomal RNA", at positions 28 to 507 of the family's 1533-position model. The record is from RNAcentral.
GAUGAACGCUGGCGGCGUGCCUAAUACAUGCAAGUCGAGCGAACAGACGAGGGGCUUGCUCCUCUGACGUUAGCGGCGGACGGGUGAGUAACACGUGGAUAACCUACCUAUAAGACUGGGAUAACUUCGGGAAACCGGAGCUAAUACCGGAUAAUAUAUUGAACCGCAUGGUUCAAUAGUGAAAGACGGUUUUGCUGUCACUUAUAGAUGUAUCCGCGCCGCAUUAGCUAGUUGGUAAGGUAACGGCUUACCAAGGCGACGAUGCGUAGCCGACCUGAGAGGGUGAUCGGCCACACUGGAACUGAGACACGGCCCAGACUCCUACGGGAGGCAGCAGUAGGGAAUCUUCCGCAAUGGGCGAAAGCCUGACGGAGCAACGCCGCGUGAGUGAUGAAGGUCUUCGGAUCGUAAAACUCUGUUAUUAGGGAAGAACAAAUGUGUAAGUAACUAUGCACGUCUUGACGGUACCUAAUCAGAAAGCCACGGCUAACUACGUG